UUGCCUUUCAGUUUUAGAUUUUUCCAGCUUACGCUCACUAGAAGUGGGUUCUAAUUUGUUAGCACCUGGCAUUUCAACCUGUGAAGUCUUUAAUUUAGAUGUACUCCUGCCCGCGAUUCCUGAAGAAUCCGAGCCUCCAUUAUUCUGAACCACUAGCCGGUUCUCUAUUCUCCAAUUCUUUGCCCUUAGUGCUAGUUCCAGCGGCAAUUCCCUGCCCGAUCGUCACCGAACUUUCGCCGGAAGUAGAAGAAGAAGAAGACCUAUUCUCCGGCGACUCUGCCAUCGCCGCCUCCGAUGCCGGCUAACUCUAUCGGUGCUUCUGAUGCCGAUCUACGAAACCUUAGAGCGAAAGGGAAGGAUGGAAAGGGAUUUGUGUGUGUGUAUGUAGACUGUAGCGUAACUUUCCAAGUAAAGAUAGAAUGCUUCCG
Molecule: unclassified non-coding RNA, 428 nt
Filed under: Hevea brasiliensis (rubber tree)
Lineage: Eukaryota; Viridiplantae; Streptophyta; Magnoliopsida; Malpighiales; Euphorbiaceae
Source: RNAcentral